RNAcentral lists this ribosomal RNA (427 nucleotides) under uncultured eukaryote. RNAcentral describes it as "bacterial SSU rRNA". It matches the Rfam family "Eukaryotic small subunit ribosomal RNA", at positions 592 to 1013 of the family's 1831-position model. The record is from RNAcentral.
CAAUAGCGUAUACUAAAGUUGUUGCGGUUAAAAAGCUCGUAGUUGGAUCUUGGAGCGUGUGCUUGCGGUCAUGCCUAUGGUGUGCACUGCUUGACGUGUUCUUCUAUUUGGUUGCGCGUGUGUGUUGCAUUAGUUUGUUGCCACACUCGACCGAAACGUUUACCUUGAAAAAAAUUAGAGUGUUCAAAGCAGACCUGUUUGUGUCUGAAUAUUCGUGCAUGGAAUAAUGAAAUAUGAAUUGUCGUUCUUUAUUUUGGUUUGGUUUCAGACUCGAGUUAAUGAUUAAGAGGGACAGACGGGGGUAUUAGUACUCUGCCGUUAGAGGUGAAAUUCUUGGAUCGGCGGAAGACUCGCAACUGCGAAAGCAUUUGCCAAGAAUGUUUUCUUUAAUCAAGAACGAUAGUCGGAGGUUCGAAGACGAUCAGAU